UCAUUUUAUAUUUUAAAUUUAUUUUAUUUUUGUACAUGACUGUAUGUAUAACAGCACACCAUGUGGAUGCAGUACCCAGAGGAGCCAGAAGAGGGCAUCAGAGCCCCUGGAGCUGGAGUUACAUGUGGCUGUGAGCUGCCCAACCUGGGUUCUGGGAACCAAACUCAGGUCAGGUUAGAAGAGCAAGCAGCACUUUUAACCACUGAGUCAUCUCCCCUACAAACUGUGAAGUUGCGCUUUCCCUCCUCCAUCAAUCUAUGCUCCAAGUCUGUCCCUCCACCGUGUCUGAUCUGUCUGCCGCCGUGGAGACAGCUCUGUACAAGUUGACCCUCACCUCACCUUGCACUGGUGCACCCUGAAUCUCUUCCUUGGACUCCUCUAGAGGAGAUGCAGCAUCCUGCAGGGAUGUUUGGGAGGAAGGAUGACUUCUCUCCAUCAGUGGGAUAAGAGCCCAGGUGAACAGCUUCAGUCUGUCAUCUCUCAGUGGGACAGUAAGAAACACAGCCAACUUGCUCUGCAGAGGAGCGCCGAGGGGCCGAGCUCAAGAGGGAACCCUUCCUCAUUGCCUUUCUUCUUUCCUGGUCUUGCCCCUCACCCCAGAUCACCUCCCAUGUAACCUACCUGCACCCCAUCCUUGCGACAGGCUCUGCUCCCAGGUAAACAAAAGGGAAGCUGAUGUGAGAAGUUUGUCUGGGAUGUAGAGAAAGAGGACUCUAUGUUUGUUAGAUGAUGAGGAGAACCAGCAUCAUCCCUGUCAGCAUCCAUUCCAUCCUCACCCCUGCAGCUCAGUGGGACCACUGGAGCGGGACACAGCAGAACACCAGUUCCUCCCAGCUUUUCCAUUUAGAGCCAGCUCCUCUCCUCAGUGGUGGGCUAACUGGGAAGGUGGGAGAGAUGGAGCUGAGAGUGGAGCCUGUCUGUCACUAAGGGGGAUGUACUUUCCCAUGAUGCAGCAUACGGCCACCAUAGGUUUGGGUCAUGGACCCUGGAUUGGCUUUGGAGGCUGAGUACCAGCUAGGGGAGUCACUGGUCUGAUCCUGAGCAGCUGAAGUAUAGAGCCCAGCCUAAGGCUGGAGCCCCCAAGGCUGGAGACUUGACUGAGGUGGGGUCUAACUACGCAGCUAUACUGACCCUCAUACUUACUCUUGCUGUAUCCUGUCGGGUGUACCCCUACACCGCCUAGCACAGGGCUCUGCAGCCGAUUGUUCUGCAAGGUUGGGUAAUUGGGAGGGGGUGUCAGAUCCCCAAAAAGAAGCCAGAACAUAUAGCUGUUUGACAGGCCCAGGCAGCUCAGUGGCUUCUCUCUUGGGAGCGAAAUAGCUGAACUUGGUAUUGUCUUUAAGGAUGCUGAGCUGGGGACCAGGGAGAACUAUAGCUGAUCUUGGGCAGAGGCCUCACCCCUGUGCAGAUCGUAAAUGGCCUCCACCCCGGCUCUCCAGCUCUCCCAGCCCAGGUCCCCCUCCCCUCCCCCAGUCUGAAUCUGCCUGAAGGCCUGAAUGUCAACCAUAUGUUUCAGAUGCUGGAUUGCCGCACAGUGAGCCAGAAGGGCUGUUCGGGAGAGAGCAUUCAGUCAAAGCUGUGUUUAUACACACGAGGGCCAGGCGUCUUUUUAUUAUGCAGAAUUAUACACUUCUUAACACACAGGCAUCAAAAGCCAUUUUUUGUUUUUUGGAAGCUGCCACAGCAUGGGCAGUGCGAGUCCGCAGCAGGGGUGGUGGGGGACGGGAGGUGACUGCUCGUCUCUCCUUGACUCAAGAGCACUGAGCCCCGAGCAUCCCGAUCUGAUGGAUGAGCGUGCAAGGGCACUGUAACUGAGACCUCAUUCUUCCGAGGGGAUCUGGGGAGCUGAGCCCCAGCAAUACCAUUUAGCAUGUUGCGGAGCUUAACGGGAAGCUCCAGCUAGCUCUGUCUUGUGCCUCAGCCUCAGAUCGCUCGUCUGCUCUCAUUCUGGAAGGAACGUGAUAGAUAUUUACCAAGAAGCAUCUUCUAGAGUCCGCACCCUCAUCCUCAGAAGCAGUCAGGCCUCACUGAACAGACAAGAAAAGGGACUUAGAAGAACUCAAGGGACUUGCUGGACCGCCCUUGCUGACUGACUGUGGAACCCCAACCUACAGCUCCCUGGCUGGCUUGAUAAAUUGACAUUUUUCAGAGCUGGACAUCUGAUCUCUUGAGAAUGCUCCAGACUUUUAGAUAUUGGAGAUGCUGGAGUUCUGGGGCAUGAAAAGUGCAAACACAGCAGAGGGGAGUGCGGAGGGAGAGCCAGGUUGAUGAGCAAGAUUUGACAUCCCCGAGUUUGAGAUCCCUGGAACCUGAAGGCCAAGGGUGCCCUUCUGAGCACAGAAUGGCUGCUUAGAUGACCAGCACAUGAUGGAAAGGUUCAUCAAGAUGGACACUCACAUCCUGGAGAUUUUGAUGGUGUGUGGUGAAUUUUAUGAUGCUUAAAUUAUACCUCAAUGAAGAGGUGGCUGGGAGGGGGUAAAGAAGAGGAUGUUGGGAGAGCCAUAGCAUCUAGUCUUCCCAAAGGCAGGUCCACAAGGUGAGAGGGCUGAACAAGGAGUGUCCCUUUGCCACAAGGCAACUAUUCAGCCUUUGUCCGGAUGGGUGCAGGGAGGAGCUGGGAGCAGAGAUGUGGUCACAGUGGGUGGGGAUGAAGCCGCCUUUGGGGGUCUUAAAGCAUCCCUACACCUGUGCAGCCUCCUCUCUCAAAGAGAGCUUAAGAAAAUAGAUGCUAACUACUGAUGUUCAAUGUCACUGAUGGGGCCCCCCAGCCUGCUGGAGUUUGGCAGUCCUCAAGGGUAAUGGUCUACGGUAGACUGGAUGCUAAAUAUCCCCAGAGGCCUACCUGUUAAAGGCUUGCUGGACAGCCUGUUGCUAUGGGGAGGUGGUGGAGUCAUUUAAAGGUAAGGUAUAGUGGGGGUCUCUAGGUCAAUGGGUGUGCCCUUGAAGGAGAUUGUGGGACCCCUUCCCCCUCUCUCCCUGGCUUAUAAUGUAAAUGGUUCUGAUCUAUGACACACUUGUGCCAGGAGAUGCUUCCUCCACCGACCCAAAAGAAAACAACUCACGUGCUCAUUGACUAGAACUUGUAAAAUUACAAGCCAAAAUAAACAUUUUAUGAGUU
Molecule: non-coding RNA, 3118 nt
Organism: Peromyscus maniculatus bairdii (prairie deer mouse)
Lineage: Eukaryota; Metazoa; Chordata; Mammalia; Rodentia; Cricetidae
Source: RefSeq, a predicted model, not a curated record